GUGCCAGCCGCCGCGGUAAUACGUAGGGGGCAAGCGUUGUCCGGAUUUAUUGGGCGUAAAGCGUCCGCAGGCGGUCUGCCAAGUUUGGGGUGACAAUUUUCGGCUUAACCGAGAAACUGCUUCAAAAACUGGCAGACUUGAGGGCUUCAGAGGAAGGCGGAAUUCCGGGUGGAGUGGUGAAAUGCGUAGAUAUCCGGAGGAACACCGAUGGCGUAGGCAGCCUUCUGGGAAGCACCUGACGCUCAGGGACGAAAGCCAGGGGAGCGAACGGGAUUAGAUACCCUCGUAGUCC
RNAcentral lists this ribosomal RNA (292 nucleotides) under uncultured bacterium. RNAcentral describes it as "partial 16S ribosomal RNA". It matches the Rfam family "Bacterial small subunit ribosomal RNA", at positions 505 to 796 of the family's 1533-position model. The record is from RNAcentral.